Long non-coding RNA from Eriocheir sinensis (Chinese mitten crab), 6694 nucleotides. RefSeq lists it as uncharacterized. The transcript is spliced from 3 exons. NCBI's taxonomy places the organism in Eukaryota, Metazoa, Arthropoda, Malacostraca, Decapoda, Varunidae. The record is from RefSeq and is a predicted model, not a curated record.
GACCAUCAGGAUCCACUGGGAAGAAGCCUACCGGCCCAAUAGGCCAAGACGUAAAAAAAAAAAAAAAAAAAAAAAAAAAAAAAAAAAAAAAGUACCGUAUUGCUUUUAAGAUAACCUCCUGCUUCUAUAAGUAUUUUGUUAAUGUGCUUUUCAGGCAACAAAAUAUCUUUGACAAUGUUCCUAAUUCCUUCUCUUGGUUAUGUAUUUUUUUCAUUUCCAGUCAAAUAACUCGGAAUGGACUCUCUGAAAGUUACCCAUUUUCAAAAACUUUAAUUUUCUUGCACUUCAACUUAAUUUCUCACAUCUAGCUCCAUUCAAAAAAUUUCAGCUUUUAUUUUCCUCAUGAUCUUGGCACUGUCACACCUGGUUAGUUGACAACUGACCGCAUCCACUGCCAUGAGUAUUGACGGGAUGCUUGCAGCCUAUGUCCAUCUUAAGAAGGCUUUUGAUUCAGUGCAUCAUGAGACACUCUGGGAUUUCUCAUACCUUGGCAGUGUGGUGCAAAGCAACAACAGGACUCAUCAAGAAGUCUUUCAACAGAUUGGCCUGACCCGUGGUUUCACUGACUCGCUCAGUACAAGUAGUAUAUGUUGUAGAUACUUGUACAGAAGGAAAAAGUUUUGGAUCUUCAGGUUGCUUGUGUUCUGUCUUGCUCUAUGGCUGAGACAUGGAUGCUAAACAGUGAGUUAAAGAGGCAUAGUGUUUAUAUCUUUGGUAGUGUCUAUGCAAAAUCAUGAUAUUGCUGGAAUGGUAGCUGGUAAUGGUGAUGCUGGUAAGACACAGCUGGUCAAGGCAACAAAGAGACUUCAUAGCAGGCUAAGGCAAUGGCAGUUCCAGGUAAGCAAGGUAAAAAAGUGAAUAUCAGUUUAACUGUAGAGAUGUCUCAAGUAUCUCCACUUGAAAAUGCUGAAGGAAAGAGGAAAUACAGUAAAAGGAAGAUUAUUUCAGAGUUUACCCAAGUUAUGAAAAAGAUACAAUACUAAAUUAUGAAAAUGUUAGAGGAAAUAUUAACUGUAAAACAGGAUAUUGUUCUGGUAAAUAUUUUAUGAAGAUAUAGAAAAGUAGCAACAAUACAAAGCCUUCACACAUGUUCAGAUAGUAGUAGGAAUAAAAAUGAGCUACUACACAAAACUCAAAUGCUUACUUUUCAAUGAGAACUUUACAGAAGAAAGUAUACAAAUCCAUGAAGAAUACUAAAUUAAGAACACAAAACUUUUCAUUUGACAAAAAAAAAAAAAAAAAAAUAAAUAAAUAAAUAAAAUAAAAAAAUAAAUAAAUAAAUAAAUUAAAUUAACAGUAAACUAUGCACUCCCAAAAAUAUAUAUUUAUCAAAUGAAAUAGUAAUUACUAUGAGAAAAAGUAUGUUCACACCAGUAUCAAAACAAAAAUAAUAAAAUCCUUCUUUUGCUACAGCUAAAUGCUCCUCUCUCAUUAUGAUAUGCAUGUCUGACAGUUUCGUACCCAUUAUAAUUAUAAGUGAUUACCAUUAUUUUAAUUACUAAGUAAAGGGAAUCCUCCUCCAUGGCAGGAAUUGCACAACUUCCCAUAUUUAUUCCAAUAAGUUAAGUUAUUUAAAAAGUACAUCUAAAAAGGUUAUGGCAUUGCUUACAUUCAUGCUUUGCAUCUGGGGCUGACAAUGAAAAUGUAAAAAAAAAAGUCUACAUGGAAAACAAAUGAAAGAAUGAAUAAAAGAUGUCAGCAAAAUGUAAAUGCUUGGUAUUACUACAUCAGCAAUACCAGUGGUGUGAAAUACUUCUCCAAUGUCGCUGCAUCUAAUUAUAGUAAUGUUAGUUCCACAGAUGGCAUCGUGCCUCAAUGCUGCUCGUGCCCACUGCCUUCGACCCAGUGCCACCUCUUGAACACAAAUUGCUGGUACUUCAGACAAUACCAUUUCUAUUUACUGGUGGCAACUUGUGUUCAGGAAGAGCACAGGGUAGGAAGCAGGGAGUGUGAGCAGCAUAGAGGCAAGUUGGCAUCUGGGGAGUGCACAGAGAAACUCUCCCUACCUAUGGCUCUGGUGUGUGUGUGUCUUUACUCAUUACUACCGUUAUAUCUGUAUGAUCAUGAUUAUUGUUACUAACCUUGAGAAUACUCUUAUCCAUGCUCCACUACAUGUUGGAUGAAGGUGGUAAUGAGAACAUAGCUUCUACAAUUAUAGGAGGUUGAAGUUUUAGCUGGGCCUCUUUUAUGAAUUGCCUCAGUGAUGACCAACAACAAUGCCAUAUGUGCAUGAAAAAAAAAAAAAAAAAAAAAAAAAAAACAUGGGUAAAUGUGUAUGGGUAAAGUUGGGAGCAAACACUAUUGGGUGCAUGUAGCCAUGGUGAUUUCUUCCAUUGCAUUGGCUCUUGAGCCUGUGGUGGGUAAGAACCCUUUACCCUGGGACACAAGGCCAGUGCAACAUUUGGGUUACAAAAGUUUACCUUCCCCAGGUUUCCCAAAGUACUCAUUUAUCGAACAUCCCGAUAGGAAGGAUGAACAACUGGGUGGGCUGCACGCCAACUGCCUUGGCCGGGCUUUGAGACCACCCUACAGAUUCAUAGUUAGGCACGCUAACCACUGCACCAUGGAGACAAAAUUGUGUAUGGUUUUAAAUAAAUACUUUACACUUAAAUAUAUCUAAAUGACACAGUAAAGGUAGUUAACAGUGUUCAAAAUAUGAAUGCAGUGUAAAAAGAACAUGAUUAUGAAUAUUUCCUUAGGCCAUCAUGGAUAGACUAACUGUUGGGUCUUUCAAAUCAUACAGUUAAGGAAGCUCAAUUUGUACCAAGUAAGGCAGCAAGACUCCUGUUUGGAAUAACAUCAAGAACUCCAAUUACUCCAUAACACAUUGAGCUGUACUUGAUGCCAAUAAGAGCUAGAAUAGAAUUUAAGUUGCAUCAUGACCAUUAAAGUUUUCAAGUUUGGCAAGAUUCAGCACCUUGCUGAACUGAUAUAUCAUCAUCCCCCAGCUUCCCUGGUGAAACUGGAGAAAUAAGAAAAGUGAUUAUUGUUAUUUAUUUUUAUUACUAGCUCAUGUGUGUGUGUGCGGCCGUGGCUCUAUGCUUGUGUGGCAAAGGACAGGAUCAUGUUGAGAUGUAGGCUACACUUUAUAUGACUAUGGAGCAAAAUCCCAAGUACUUUGCUUUUCAUUCUUGAAAGAAAAUAUGAAAUAAAAUUAACUGAAAUUUAAAAUGCAUGUGGGUAUUAAGAUCAUUAUAUAUCCAUACAUGAAUUAAAAAGUGACUCUGGCAAAACCUAUAACUGACCCCAACUGAAUUAUAUGACCUUUUUGCUAUAAUGGUCUGCUGACAUGUAACUGGUGACUUGAAAUGUUUGGCAUGUGUAUAUAAUGCCCAGAAUAUGUCAUAUCAGGAAAAAUAAUAUGAAUCACAAAAUUUUCCAAGUAUGUUAUGAAUGUUUUUUCUGUGUAAGGAAUGUAUAGAGGAUACUCCAGAAAAUAUCAAACUUCUGGGGUAUCUAGUUUAUUCUAUUUCUAAAAUAUAGAGGGAAAAAAGAUUCUUUGCCAAAUUUUGAUGAAGAUACAGGUAACUCUCAAUUUAAGCGAGUAUUGUGUCCUUGAAGAGGUCGCGUAAAUCAAAAACAAUGUAAAUCAAACAAGAGGUAGGUUUCUAUCGAAAAAUAAAUAUUCACUUCAUUCAGUGGAGAGAGAGAGAGAGAGAGAGAGAGAGAGAGAGAGAGAGAGAGAAUAUCCAUAUCACCGAGAUAUCCACUCAGGCACUCAGUCUCAGCCUCACUCGUGUGAGGAAGAUAUGAGGGACACCAUGAGCGACUGGCUAGUAUUGGUACCGGUACUGAGCAGUCUGGUAUCAGUACCGUACUGUAUAGCUGGUACCGUUACCUGCCCACCCCUAUUGUUGAGUAGCGUGGCAGCGUGGGCACUGUAUUGUUGUUCAAGUGGUGUGCGGGAAGAACUGAGCUCAGCUGUGUGGCCGUGGCACCGUGUGAGUCCAGUUGCGUGAGACAUCUGGUGGCCACUCCAUAAAAUAUCGCGUAUAAAUGAAAAAGCGUGUAAAUUAAACAUUUACUUGGAUUUUGGACACGGCGUUAUUUAAAAAACUCGUAAUCCAAACUCGUGUAAAUCGAGAGUUACCUGUACCUUGGUUACCACUCAUAGAGGACUAUUAUAGUCUGCUAUCAAUAUCCAUAUACAGUACUGUCUCCAGGAUUGCGAGUUUCAAGUUUGUGAUUCACCGAGUUUGCGAUAAGGACCCCAAAAAUUUGAUUUUUAUUGAAAACUGAAAUUGCGAUAUGACCCGAAAGGAAAAGGAAAAGGCUGCUAAAACCGUUUUUUUUCACACCUUGUUGUGGUCCUUGAUUCCCAUUCUUGCUCUUACCCACCCCCUGGGCCUUUCCAUUGGCCGCGGGAAGCAUGGUGAGUGGGAUCCAGGCAACCAGGCGCAUGUGUGCGAGCUUCCCCGACCACGCGCUGGGCCUGAGCAGCUGACGGGCGGCUGAUGAUGGUGAUGGAGAUGAUGAGUGGCGGUGGCGCUGUCCCCACAUUGGCGCCACCCAAACGGCACCUUCAUCGGGGCCCGUGCAUGUGUGGCUGUGCUCAUCGUGGGCCCAGGCUCCUCAAUCUGCCAAUUCCCACCUUCCACAUGUUGCGCGGGACCUCUUUCUUUUCUUCCAUCUCUUCCUUUUCAAAAUGAAGAGAUGGAAGAAAAGAAAGGGGUCCUGCACAACAUGUGGAAAACAAGAACUGGCAAAUUGAGAAGCCCAAACCCACAACAAACACUGACCGGUAUCACUCACUAGUGUGGUUGCGAAGAUAUGUGAGAGGCUAGUUCAAAACAAGUGGUCGGAUUGUUUAGAAAGGAAGGGAAUUAUCUCGGAUGGCCAGUUUGGAUUCAGGAGAGGGAGAUCGUGUGUCACCAACUUGUUAUCAAGGGUGACAGAUUUAAUACAGGAGCGAGAAGGCUAGGGGAUGGAGUGUACCUGGAUUUGAAAAAGGCAUUCGACAAAGUACCGCACAGAAGACUAAUUUUGAAAAUUAAAAAUAGGGGUGAAGUGGGUGAUGGACUGAUUAAGUGGCUGGGGGACUUCCUAACUAACAGGGAAAUGAGGACAAUAAUCAAGGACAAGGUUUCUAACUGGUGCCCAGUGAGGAGUGGGGUCCCACAAGGUUCAGUGCUGGCACCAAUAAUGUUUGCUGUUUAUAUAAAUGAUAUGGUGGACGGAGUGACCAGCUAUGUGAGUUUGUUUACAGAUGAUGCAAAGCUAAUGAGACGAGUCAAUGAUGUGAAAGACUGUGAGGCAUUGCAGAGGGACCUGGACAAAAUAUGGGAGUGGAGUGGUACAUGGCAGAUGGAAUUCAACCUUGGGAAAUGUAAAAAAAUAUAGUUUGGUAGGAGUGGUAGAAGAUAGGAAUAUGAUUAUAAGAUGGGAAGUGAGAUAAUAUGCAGAGGAAUGGAAGAAAAAGAUUUGGGAGUGACUCUCAGAGAACAUGUCACUGGACAAACACAUCAACAGGAUAACGGGAUACACUAUGAAUUUGUUGAAGAACAUAAGGAUGGCAUUUGUGUAUUUGGACGAAGAGAUGAUGAAGAAAAUAAUAGUUACAAUGAUAAGGCCAAGGUUGGAGUAUGCAGCAGCGGUCUGGUCUCCUCAUGAAAAGAAGAACAUAAGAAAGCUGGAAAGAGUACAGAGAGUGGCAACUAAGAUGGUGCUGGAACUUAGGGAUCGGACUUAUGAGGAGAGACUCAAUAGUAUGGGGCUCACAACCCUGGAGAAAAGAAGAGACAUCGGAGACCUGAUAGUGGUGUACAGGAUGGCGAGUGGGGUGGAGAAUCUGGACAGAGAGGACCUGUGUGUGUGGAGCAAGAGAGAAACGAGUGGACAUGGAAAGAAGUUGAGGGUGACCAUGUGUAGGCGAGAUGUGAAAAAGUUUAGCUUCCCAAACAGAAGUAUUGAGCUGUGGAAUGGACUGGAGGAGGUGGUGGUUUGUGCAAGAAACAUUCAUGAUUUUAAGGAAAAGUUGGGUAAGAGAGGAUAUGGAGAUGGGGCAGCGCAAGCGUAGCUCUUUUCCCAUAUGUCACAACUAGGUAAAAUACAAGGGCCCCGACAAAAACACCGUUUAGGCGGCGCCGAUGCAAAGGCCACGCCGCCGACACUCAUCACCACCAUCAACAUCAUCAGCCGCCUGCCAGCUGCUCGGGCCCAGUGCGCGGCCGGGGCAGUCCGCACACAUCUGGGUGGCCAAGUGCAAGAUGUUGACGGUUUUCAAUUUUCCCCAUAAGAAUAAGGGUUCAAAGUUUGCAACCCACAAUGUCGACUUAUUUAUUGCAAGCUUGGAGACAGUACUACUCAACCUGUGCCCGGUGGAUGUGCUCAGCAGGGAACUGAGAUGGACUGAUGGGCAUCAUGGGUUUGGCAGCCUUGAGCUUGUGGGCCAGAGUGAGGAAUAUGGCCUCCACGUGGUCACAGUCGCUGUCAUCCUUGGCAGAAGUUUCAAAGUGCUGAAAAUACAUAGCUCUGCAGCUGUGGAGAGGCUAUUCAGCACGGCCGGGGACGUCUUCAGGGCCAAGAGGUCCACCCUGGAUGAGGUCAACUUUGAGGUGCUUGUGUUCCUUAAAGGGAACAUUGACCUCCUGGAGGAGAAGAUGGGCCAGGAGGACAUGGAGGAGGAGGAGGAUGACCUGUAGAUAUUAGUUUAGGCUGUGUUUUAACUAAAAAAAAUAAAAAGAAUAAAAAUAAA